Molecule: unclassified non-coding RNA, 170 nt
Filed under: uncultured Helotiales
Lineage: Eukaryota; Fungi; Ascomycota; Leotiomycetes; Helotiales
Description: sequence contains ITS1
Source: RNAcentral
CAGUGAUACCGGCCCCUCGGGGCCGGACUCACCACCCUGUGUAUUAUUACUUGUUGCUUUGGCAGGCCGCGAGGUUGCUCUGCAAUCUGGCACCGGCUCCGGCUGGAGAGCGCCUGCCAGAGGACCCAACUCUGUUAUCAGUGAUGUCUGAGCACUAUAUUUAAUAGUUA